Long non-coding RNA from Mus musculus (house mouse), 804 nucleotides. RefSeq annotates it as predicted gene, 32435. The record is from RefSeq and is a predicted model, not a curated record. The transcript has 3 exons. Lineage: Eukaryota; Metazoa; Chordata; Mammalia; Rodentia; Muridae.
ACAGACAGACAGUGACAGACAGAAAGACCCAUUUAAGAUGUUCUGCCAUGCCCUUCCCAACUUGAAACCAAAACCUUUAAAACUCAGUGGACUAAUAAGCCCUUCCUUAAAGACUAAGGAUAGCAAUCCUUAAUUUAUUUCUGUCAGAUACUUUGUCAUAGCAAUGAAAAAUCUAAUAUCAUGGCUGGUGGCUGACCCUCAGUAAAACCCUGGACACUAACCAAGGCUCAGGUGGGCUUCACUGGCUUGCAGUGCUUUGUACAUGCCACUGCUAAGAGAAUGAAGGGUCCUGCUCCACUGGGACACUAUCUACAAAACUGCUCCAGUUCUCUGCCAAACUACUGCCUACGUGCCUUUCAGCUUUGUCAAACUUAAGCUCUAUCUUUUCAUUGUAGUGACUUGUAUCCAUGACUGUUAACAGCUCUGAGUCUUCUUAGUGGCAAAAGAGAAACACAGCCUAGCACUGCCACCAGGGCCUGAAGUUCCCUCCUCUUAGGGAAGGCAAAAAGGAAUGAAUCUCAAGGGUUGUAUCCCAUGAUCCUGUCAGUACUAUACAGCCUGCUAUUAUGGAUACAUAGUAUUUUACAUCAGACACUGAAAUCUCCAGCACGACUUUCUGCUAAGGACUGCUUUUGCUAUUUGGGAGUCUUCUGUGCAUCUGUAUGAAAAACGUUGGACUAUUCUACUGAGACCUUGAGGUACACCAUGAAACAGAAAAAAUAGGAAGAAAAGCUUUACAGGAUAUGCAAGUCAGAACUCGGAGAAUAUAUACAAUGUCCUGUAUCAGUAAAGAUGUGAAAGGUA